RNAcentral lists this long non-coding RNA (227 nucleotides) under Musa acuminata (dwarf banana). Its description in RNAcentral is "long non-coding RNA (MACU_LNC009417)". The record is from RNAcentral. Lineage: Eukaryota; Viridiplantae; Streptophyta; Magnoliopsida; Zingiberales; Musaceae.
UUUUUUUCGACGAGCUUCCGGCGAUCUUCCGAUGAACUUUCGAUGAUCUCUCAGCAAUCUUUCAAUGGACUUCCGACAAGCUGCUGGACUUCAUGACGAUCUUCUUAGCGAGUUUUGACGAGUUUCUUCUUGGCCAAUUCCGACAGCAUUUUUGACAAACUUCUGGACUUCCGACGAACUCUCAAACUCUCAACGAAAUCUCAAUCUUGACUCUGGCACUUCGUUUU